RNAcentral lists this ribosomal RNA (497 nucleotides) under uncultured bacterium. RNAcentral describes it as "partial 16S ribosomal RNA". It matches the Rfam family "Bacterial small subunit ribosomal RNA", at positions 28 to 507 of the family's 1533-position model. The record is from RNAcentral.
GACGAACGCUGGCGGCGUGCCUAAUACAUGCAAGUUGAGCGCUGGAGGGUGGUUCUUGUACGAACUGGGUGGGCAACGGACGGGUGAUUAAUACGAGUGUAAUCUGCCGUUGAGCGUAGGACAACAUUUGGAAACGUAUUCUAGUACCCGAUAAGAGCUUGAAACACAAGUUUUAUGGUUGAAAGAUGCAAUUGCAUAACUCAAAGAGGAUUCCGCGUUUGAUUAGCUAGUUGGUUAGGGAAAGGCUCACCAAUGCGAGGAUACAUAGCCGACCUGAGAAGGUGAACGGCCACAAUGGGACUGAGACAAGGCCCAAACUCCUAAGGGAGGCAGCAGUAGGGAAUCUUCGGCAAUGGACGAAAGUCUGACCGAGCAACGCCGCGUGAGUGAAGAAGGUUCUCGGAUCGUAAAACUCUGUUGGUAGAGAAGAACGUUGGUGAGAGUGGAAAGCUCAUCAAGUGACGGUAACUACACAGAAAGGGACGGCUAACUACGUG